UCACUCUUGUUUCUCUUCAGAUCGUAUAAAUCUUUCGCCUUUUACUAAAGAUUUCCGUGGAGAGGAGCAUUUUGAGUAUCAACUAAUUUUUUAAUGCCCUGUGUUCAACAGGGCU
Molecule: small nuclear RNA, 115 nt
Organism: Myripristis murdjan (pinecone soldierfish)
Lineage: Eukaryota; Metazoa; Chordata; Actinopteri; Holocentriformes; Holocentridae
Gene: U5
Rfam family: U5 spliceosomal RNA
About the family: U5 RNA is a component of both types of known spliceosome.
Source: Ensembl